AUGAGAGUAUUAUGCUGGAACUGUCGUGGGAUUGGCGACCCUGCGACAGUCCAUGAGCUCCGCGCUCUCGUGGGAGCUAGUGCGUCGUCGGUUCUUUGUAUUAUGGAAACUCAAAUAGCAAAGAAUCGAGUGGAAGGUUUGGUGGUCUCUUUAGGUUUUCAAAACAGCUUUGCAGUAGCUAGUAGUGGCCGUAGUGGCGGUCUCUGUAUCUUUUGGAAGACAGAUGUU
Molecule: ribosomal RNA, 228 nt
Filed under: Triticum aestivum (bread wheat)
Lineage: Eukaryota; Viridiplantae; Streptophyta; Magnoliopsida; Poales; Poaceae
Description: partial small subunit ribosomal RNA
Source: RNAcentral